GCCGGGCACGGUGGCGCAUGCCUGUAAUCCCAGUGGCUCAGGAGGCUGAGGCAGGAGGAUCGCUAGUUCAAAGCCAGCCUCGGCAAAAGUGGGGUGCUCAGCAACCCAGUGAGACCCUGUCUCUA
Molecule: small RNA, 125 nt
Filed under: Marmota monax (woodchuck)
Lineage: Eukaryota; Metazoa; Chordata; Mammalia; Rodentia; Sciuridae
Source: RNAcentral